This 568-nucleotide ribosomal RNA is filed under the name uncultured Lactobacillus sp. RNAcentral describes it as "bacterial SSU rRNA". It matches the Rfam family "Bacterial small subunit ribosomal RNA", at positions 9 to 551 of the family's 1533-position model. The record is from RNAcentral. Lineage: Bacteria; Bacillati; Bacillota; Bacilli; Lactobacillales; Lactobacillaceae.
GAGUUUGAUCAUGGUUCAGGACGAACGCGGGCGGCGUGCCUAAUACAUGCAAGUCGAACGAGGCUUUUUGAUUGAUGCUUGCAUCAGCUGAAAAGCCGAGUGGCGAACGGGUGAGUAACACGUGGGUAACCUGCCUUGAAGCGGGGGAUAACAUUUGGAAACAGAUGCUAAUACCGCAUAACCACAAAAACCUCCUGGUUUUUGUGUCAAAGAUGGUUUUGCUAUCACUUCAAGAUGGACCCGCGGCGUAUUAGCUAGUUGGUGAGGUAACGGCUCACCAAGGCAAUGAUACGUAGCCGAACUGAGAGGUUGAUCGGCCACAUUGGGACUGAGACACGGCCCAAACUCCUACGGGAGGCAGCAGUAGGGAAUCUUCCACAAUGGACGCAAGUCUGAUGGAGCAACGCCGCGUGAGUGAAGAAGGUCUUCGGAUCGUAAAACUCUGUUGUCAGAGAAGAACGUGCGUGAGAGUAACUGUUCAUGCAGUGACGGUAUCUGACCAGAAAGUCACGGCUAACUACGUGCCAGCAGCCGCGGUAAUACGUAGGUGGCAAGCGUUGUCCGGAUU